This 551-nucleotide ribosomal RNA is filed under the name uncultured bacterium. Its description in RNAcentral is "partial 16S ribosomal RNA". It matches the Rfam family "Bacterial small subunit ribosomal RNA", at positions 355 to 899 of the family's 1533-position model. The record is from RNAcentral.
UGGGGAAUUUUGGACAAUGGGCGAAAGCCUGAUCCAGCAAUGCCGCGUGUGUGAAGAAGGCCUUCGGGUUGUAAAGCACUUUUGUCCGGAAAGAAAUCCUUGGCUCUAAUACAGUCGGGGGAUGACGGUACCGGAAGAAUAAGCACCGGCUAACUACGUGCCAGCAGCCGCGGUAAUACGUAGGGUGCAAGCGUUAAUCGGAAUUACUGGGCGUAAAGCGUGCGCAGGCGGUUUGCUAAGACCGAUGUGAAAUCCCCGGGCUCAACCUGGGAACUGCAUUGGUGACUGGCAGGCUAGAGUAUGGCAGAGGGGGGUAGAAUUCCACGUGUAGCAGUGAAAUGCGUAGAGAUGUGGAGGAAUACCGAUGGCGAAGGCAGCCCCCUGGGCCAAUACUGACGCUCAUGCACGAAAGCGUGGGGAGCAAACAGGAUUAGAUACCCUGGUAGUCCACGCCCUAAACGAUGUCAACUAGUUGUUGGGGAUUCAUUUCCUUAGUAACGUAGCUAACGCGUGAAGUUGACCGCCUGGGGAGUACGGUCGCAAGAUUAAAA